AACGAACGCUGGCGGCAUGCCUAACACAUGCAAGUCGAACGAGACCUUCGGGUCUAGUGGCGCACGGGUGCGUAACGCGUGGGAACCUGCCCUUAGGUUCGGAAUAACUCCCCGAGAGGGGUGCUAAUACCGGAUAAUGUCUUCGGACCAAAGAUUUAUCGCCUUUGGAUGGGCCCGCGUUGGAUUAGCUAGUUGGUAGGGUAAAAGCCUACCAAGGCGACGAUCCAUAGCUGGUCUGAGAGGAUGAUCAGCCACACUGGGACUGAGACACGGCCCAGACUCCUACGGGAGGCAGCAGUGGGGAAUAUUGGACAAUGGGCGAAAGCCUGAUCCAGCAAUGCCGCGUGAGUGAUGAAGGCCUUAGGGUUGUAAAGCUCUUUUACCCGGGAUGAUAAUGACAGUACCGAGAGAAUAAGCUCCGGCUAACUCCGUG
This 433-nucleotide ribosomal RNA is filed under the name uncultured bacterium. RNAcentral's name for it is "partial 16S ribosomal RNA". It matches the Rfam family "Bacterial small subunit ribosomal RNA", at positions 29 to 507 of the family's 1533-position model. The record is from RNAcentral.